Molecule: ribosomal RNA, 404 nt
Filed under: uncultured bacterium
Lineage: Bacteria
Description: bacterial SSU rRNA
Rfam family: Bacterial small subunit ribosomal RNA
Source: RNAcentral
GGGGAAUAUUGCACAAUGGGCGCAAGCCUGAUGCAGCGACGCCGCGUGAGGGAUGACGGCCUUCGGGUUGUAAACCUCUUUCAGCAGGGAAGAAGCGCAAGUGACGGUACCUGCAGAAGAAGCACCGGCUAACUACGUGCCAGCAGCCGCGGUAAUACGUAGGGUGCGAGCGUUGUCCGGAAUUAUUGGGCGUAAAGAGCUUGUAGGUGGUUUGUCGCGUCUGCUGUGAAAAUCCGGGGCUCAACCCCGGACUUGCAGUGGGUACGGGCAGACUAGAGUGUGGUAGGGGAGACUGGAAUUCCUGGUGUAGCGGUGGAAUGCGCGGAUAUCAGGAGGAACACCGAUGGCGAAGGCGGUUCUCUGGGCAUGACCUGACGCUGAGGAGCGAAAGUGUGGGGAGCGAA